Molecule: long non-coding RNA, 214 nt
Filed under: Elaeis guineensis (African oil palm)
Lineage: Eukaryota; Viridiplantae; Streptophyta; Magnoliopsida; Arecales; Arecaceae
Description: long non-coding RNA (EGUI_LNC037421)
Source: RNAcentral
CUGCUGGCUAAGAGGCUUGGUUAGUGGGUCUGCCAUGUUUAGUGUAGAGUCGACUCUCUACAACUCGACGAACUUUUUCUCGAGGUAUUCGCAUAUGAUAUGAAACCAUCGCUCUAUAUGCUUAGACUUCUAGUGAGACCUAGGCUCCUUAGCAAGGGCUAUGGCACUGUUGUUGUCAUAGUGCAGUGCAAUGGCAUCUGAUGGUAUCACUCCC